UCAGAAGGCAGACACCCUAAGUUUCCUGGGCUGAGAGGGCAGCUUAAGGGAGUUGUGGGACAAUGUGAAAUGUAACAAUAAAUAGCAGAUGUGCCAGAAGAGGCAAAAAGGGAGAAAGGCAUAGGGAAAGUGUUUGAAGAAAUAGUGGUAGAAAACUUCCCUAACCUGAUAAA
Pipistrellus kuhlii (Kuhl's pipistrelle) is the source of this 173-nucleotide long non-coding RNA. RefSeq lists it as uncharacterized. The transcript has 2 exons. The record is from RefSeq and is a predicted model, not a curated record. Lineage: Eukaryota; Metazoa; Chordata; Mammalia; Chiroptera; Vespertilionidae.